This is a long non-coding RNA of Acinonyx jubatus (cheetah), 4121 nucleotides long. RefSeq lists it as uncharacterized. Lineage: Eukaryota; Metazoa; Chordata; Mammalia; Carnivora; Felidae. The record is from RefSeq and is a predicted model, not a curated record. The transcript is spliced from 3 exons.
AAAAUCCCAUAUGUUUUCCUUUCUUGGAGACCUCCUGGCAAGUUUCUAGGUGGAGUGUUUGUUGUUAUGUCUGCCCCCUCCCCCCCGACCAAGUUUACUUGACCUCCUUGAAGGGAUUCACUUCAUUUUACUCACAGUCUUAUUCCUCUUUAGUAGCAGAAUUUUUACCCGGGCACGUGGCUGUCCAGCAUGAAGACUCCAUUUCCCAGGCUUCCUUGCAGCUAAUGUGGCCAUGUGAUCAAGUUGUGACCAAUGGGAUAGGACUAGAGGUGAGGGAGGAGGUUUGUCUGCCUUCUCCCUUUUCUUUCUCCUUGGGCUGGAGUGCAGACCCUAUGGAUGAAAGCAACAUCUUCAUAUUAGUUUCCUGAGGGCUUCCAUGACAAAGUACCGCAGACUUAGUGGCUUGAACAACAGGAUUUAUUGUCUCACAGUUUUGGAGGCCAAAGACCCAACGUCAGGGUGUCGGCAGAGUUAGUCUCUUCUGAGGCUGUGAGGCAGAAGCUGUUCUAUGUCUCUCCCCUGGCUGCUGGUGGUUUGCUGGCAAUCUUUGUCAUUCCUUGGCUUGUGGAAGGAUCACCCCAAUCUUUGUUCUUCACUGAGUACUCCCUGUGUGCAUUUCCUGUGUCUAAAUUUCCCCUUUUUGAAUUUUUUUAAAGUUUAUUUAUUUAUUUUGAGAAAGAGCAUGAGCUGGAGAGGGGCAGAGAGGGAGGGAGAGAGAAUCCCAAGCAGGCUCCUCACUGUCAGUGCACAGCCUGACGCGGGACUUGAACCCAUGAAACCGCGAGAUCAUGACCUGAACCACAACCGAGUCAGAUGCUUAACCAACUGAGCCAUCCAGGUGCCCCUAAAUUUCCCCUUUUUGUAAAGACAGCUGCCGUGUUGGAUUCGGGGGGGUCCACCCUACUCCAGUAUUACGUCAUCUAAACUUAACUAAUUACAUCUGCAACAACUCUAUUUCCAAAUCAGUUUACAUUCUGAGGUACUGGGGGUUAGAACUUCAACAUACGGAUUUUUUUGGGGGAGGGUGGAGCACAAUUCAGCAUGGAACAGUCUCAUAGUGGGUGCUGUGAUGUGCUGCUCAGAUUACCUUUUCAGGAGCGAAGGGCUCAUUCCCACAGCUGCCCACCCUCAGCUAUCAGCCAAUGCGGAGAAUCGCCCUCAGCUGAAGAGAGUCUUCUGGACCAAGGUCAUACCCCCUCCCACGGGCAGCCAGUGUCCAACGGCUAGUCCUUGUGUGUGUGUGUAAAGGCUUGGCUCCCUCGUCUCAGUAUGAAAAACCUGAAACGAUAUCACAGCCUCAGGGGUCUCCAAGGGGUCGGCUGAAGCCUUGGCCGUGCUCGUAUCACAGCCCGACUCCUCCCUCUGCUCAAUCCAGCCGGUACCCCUUUUCACAGGUGUGGAUCCUGCACGCUGACCUCCAGCUUGGAGUCUGCUUCCUGCGGUGCCCAAAUGUCAGUAGACCCUACAAAUUCAAGCAGAAGAGUCCUGUGUCCCCAAGCCUAAGGAGCUGCCCUAUCAGCCCUGGAGUGUUAUGUGAGAACGCUGCUGCUCCUUCACUCAAGCUGUGACUACUGGUGGUCUCUGUCACUGCGUCACCAUCUGUAUCCUCAGCGGUUGUGGACGCCUCGGAGAGACAACUUGUGCUGGGCAGAUUCUAGGAAUCCUGAGCCGGGCACCUGCAUUGGAGGAAGAAGGGACGGGCAGAUCUGGUGAGGUUCCUGAUCCAUCUGAAUACCUAACUGCUGUUUGUGAGAUGUGAUGUCACAUGGAUACACCCUGGGGUAUAAGCCAAAUACCUGAGUUUGAGUCCUGGCUCCUCCUGCGUGCACUGGGAGACCUUGGGUAAGGCAUCCCGUCUCUCAGCACAACCAGUGAAAUACGGGAGGCGGGGGUGAAUAAAAAUAUCUAAUCCCAAGUAAAACAGCAUUAGGAGAUUUAAGAGAGACCACUCAUGUGUGAGUGCUUUGUAAACUGUAAAGCAUCACAUCAGGGGGAGGCAUUAGACACUUCCCGAGGGCAGAGGACCGUCUUAUAUUACCCUUUAUCCCCAGCCCUGACACGGUGACUACAUCGCCGUGGACACUCAAAUAACAUGUGCUGGUUGAAUGGAUGAACAGGUGGAUGUAGAGAGUCAUGGAGGGAAAGGCAGAUUGGAAACGUGCCUGUUAGAUUAAGGGUGUCAGAGGAUGAGGCUAGAGAGGGAGCAGGAGGAGUAGGUCCUUGAAAGGAGUUUGGGGCUUUUGUCUCAUCUGUCAGGAAGGCAGCUAAUGCAUCCGUCACCAGCUGGCCGCCUGGGCAGCCCGGCUCCCCUUGGGCCCAGCUGCCAGGCCCUGGGCCAUCUGAGGCCUGGGCGACUGCUCCAGAACAGGGGGGCCGACAGCUUCUGCCGUCACAGGCAGGCUGGUGACUUGUGUGGAAUGCCCUGUCUCUCGUGCCUGCUUUUGGAGCCUAAGUCCCUGGUGACAGUAAACAUAGCAGCGUCAGGGCCUGACACUGAGCUGCCCUGGGUCUUGGCAGGGCAGGGCCGAGGGGACCUGUAUCCCAUGGUUAGAAAUAUAAAUAAAAACAGGACAGGUAAAUAUAGGCAUUCGUGUAGGAAAUCUAGAUCCCAAGACUAUUUUUUCCUGACCUAGUUAUUUUUGUUUGUUUGUUUGUCUGGGACAGAAUUACUUGGGAAAUUUAAUUGCUUUACCUGGUUGUUAAAGACCUGAUAGAAUGGAUCUAAUAUUAUUAUUUAAAUAGAAUAAGAAUAGCUAUGAUUUUGUCAGUGCUUACUACAUGCCAACGUAGGUUUUGUACUUGAGUGCAUAGACGUAAUCUUAGUACUAGAAGGUAAGCAUUAACCCUGUAGGAUCAUAUCAGACAACUCUGUAAGGUAAAUAUUAGCAUAUACUCAUUUUACAGAUGAAGGACCUGAGCUCUAAUCUUUAAUUGCUUACUGGGGUCAUAGAGCUGGCAGAUGAAAGAGCUGGAACUCAAGUUAUCCAUCCAUCCAUUUGUUCAUUCCACGCAUAACUACUGAGCACCUAUCAUAUUCCCGGCACUGGGGAUUUAUGAGAGCAUCAUAUACAUAAAAGUCCCUGGUUUUCCAGACAAACACAACAAACAAAUAGAAUGUGUAACAGAUGACGUGCCAGUAAGUGCAAUGGUGAAGAAUGAAACAGGUAAAGGGGUAAGUAGCACCAGUGUUGGGAUGGAGGAGGAGAGGGUGGGCUGCAAUUUUAAACAGGAUGGCCAGGAAAGACCCCAUGUUGCUUUGACAUCUAAGCAAAGAGUUGAAUAUGCUGGGUUGCCGAGCUGCUGGAUUAGAGAAUAGAACUUUGAUGACUUUGAACUUUGUCCCAUGGGGCAAGUUGAAAAAUUGGAGUCCAUGGAAGAUUUCUAUGGAUUCACUUUUCCCUUAAGUUCUUUCUCUCUUUCCUGGGCUCUGCAUUUCUAGAGUAAGAAAUAAGAAGGUAAACUAGGGAGGGGGUAAAUUUAGUAAAAUCCAUCCAUCCAUCCGUCUGUCCGUCCGUCCAUCCAUCCAUCCAUUCAUCCAUCCAUUUAUACAUCUUUCCACCCAUCCCUCCAUCCGUCUGUCCAUCUGUCCGUACAUCCAUCCAUCCAUCCAUCCAUCCAUCCAUCCAUCCCUCCAUUUAUCCAUCCAUCCAUCCAUCCAUCCAUCCAUCCUUUCAGUGCUCAUAGAUUACAAGUCAGAUCUAUACUUCUAUCCAAAUGAAGAAUAAGAUCUGGAUCUAUACUGUUGGAUACAGUAGCCACUAAUCACGUGUGGCUAUUGGGUGCUUGAAAUGAGGCUCUGUCACGGGGGAAUGAAAAAUUUAAUUUUAUGCAAUUAACUAAAAUAUAAGUUAAAAAACCCUGGAGCAGUGUAAAAUAAUUUUUUUAUGAAAUACAACUUUAUUGUUUUGCUGGGGUAUAUUUCAGUUUGACCAUUGCAAGCGUAGCUCUGAAUUGAGGUUUACUUCAAGUGUAAAAUAUACAACGGGUUUCAAAGACUUUGUACCAAAAGAAAGAUAUAUAAAAUAUCUUAUCAGUGGGUUUUUGUACUGAUUACAUAUUGAGAUGAUAAUAUCUUGGGCAUCUGAGGUUAAAUAAAAUACAUUAUUAAGAUUAAUUUCUCU